Molecule: transfer RNA, 86 nt
Filed under: Capsicum annuum
Lineage: Eukaryota; Viridiplantae; Streptophyta; Magnoliopsida; Solanales; Solanaceae
Also listed under: 1 other name
Rfam family: tRNA
About the family: Transfer RNA (tRNA) molecules are approximately 80 nucleotides in length. Their secondary structure includes four short double-helical elements and three loops (D, anti-codon, and T loops).
Source: Rfam by way of RNAcentral
CCGACCUUAGCUCAGUUGGUAGAGCGGAGGACUGUAGUGUGUCUGCUGAGAUCCUUAGGUCGCUGGUUCGAAUCCGGCAGGUCGGA